CCGGGGGUGGCCCGUGGGACCCAGACCAUCAUCUCCACCUCCAUCACUGGACACCUGUCCACGAAAUGCUCCGGGUCCCCGCAACGCCAACAGGCCAGCCCAGACCUACCCUACUGCGGGUAUACUUCUAUACUGCGACUAUACUUUCUACUGUACUUCUAUACUGUGGGUAAACUUUCUUCUAUACUUUUAUACUGCGGGUAUACUUUCUACUGUACGUCUAUACUGCGGGUAUACUUUCUUCUGUACUUCUAUACUGUGGGUAAUUUUCUAUACUUCUAUACUGCGGGUAUACUUUAUACGGUACUUGUAUACUGCGGGUAUACUUUCUACUGUACUAUACUGCGGGUAUACUUUCUACUGUAUUUCUGUACUGCGGGUAUACUUUCUUCUAUACUGCGGGUAUACUUUCUACUGUACUUCUAUACUGUGGGUAAACUUUCUGUUAUACUUCUAUACUGCGGGUAUACUUUCUACUGUAUUUCUAUACUGCGGGUAUACUUCUAUACUUCUAUAUUGCAGGUUUACUUUCUACUGUACUUCUAUACUGCGGGGGUGUACUUCUAUACUGUGGGUAUACUUUCUUCUGUACUGCGGGUAUACUUUCUACUGUACUUCUAUACUGUGGGUAAUAUUCUAUACUUUUAUACUGCGGGUAUACUUCUAUACUGCAGGUAUACUUUCUACUGUACUCCUGUACUGCGGGGGUAUACUUCUAUACUUCUAUAUUGCGGGUAUACUUUUUUCUGUACUUCUGUACUGCGGGUAUACUUCUAUAAUUCUAUACUGCGGGUAUACUUCCUACUGUACUUCUAUAAUGUGGGUAAACUUUCUUCUAUAAUUCUAUACUGCGGGUAUACUUCCUACUUUACUUCUAUAAUGUGGGUAAACUUUCUUCUGUACUUCUAUAAUGCUGGUAAUUUUAAAAUUCUCAUGCCCACUUAUAAGGCCUUGAACUGUACUAUAAUGCGGGUAUACGUUCUACUGUACUUUUACACUGUGGGUAUACUUUCUUCUGUACUUCUAUACUGCGGGUAUACUUUGUACUGUACUUCUGUACUGCGGGUAUACUUUCUACCAUACUAUGCUGCUGGUAUACUUGCUUCUGUACUUCUGUACUGCGGGUAUACUUUCUACUGUACUUCUAUACUGCGGGUAUACUUUCUUUACUUCUAUACUGUGGGUAAUUUUCUAUAUUUUUAUACUGCGGGUAUACUUCUAUACUGCGGGUAUACUUUCUACUGUACUUCUGUUCUGUGGGUAUACUUUCUACUGUAUUUCUGUACUGCGGGUAUACUUUCUUCUAUACUUCUGUACUGCGGGUAUACUUUCUACUGUACUUCUAUUCUGCAGGUAUACUUUCUUCUAUACUUCUAUACUGCGGGUAUACUUUCUACUGUACUUCUAUACUGCGGGUAUACUUUCUACUGUACUUAUGUACUGCGGGUAUACUUUCUACUGUACUAUACUGCGGGUAUACUUUCUACUGUACUUCUAUACUUUGGUUAUGCUUUCUACUGUACUUCUGUACUGUGGGUAUACUUUCUUCUAUACUUCUGUACUGUGGGUAUACUUUCUACUGUACUUCUAUUCUGCGGGUAUACUUUCUUCUAUACUUCUAUACUGCGGGUAAUUUUAAAAUUCUCAUUCUCAUGCUCACUUAUAAGGCCUUGCUCACUUAUAAGGCCUUGA
Long non-coding RNA from Carassius auratus (goldfish), 1692 nucleotides. The record is from Ensembl. NCBI's taxonomy places the organism in Eukaryota, Metazoa, Chordata, Actinopteri, Cypriniformes, Cyprinidae.